CGAAAGCCUGACGGAGCAACGCCGCGUGAGGGAUGAAGGCCUCUGGGCUGUAAACCUCUUUUCUCAAGGAAGAAGAUCUGACGGUACUUGAGGAAUAAGCCACGGCUAAUUCCGUGCCAGCAGCCGCGGUAAUACGGGAGUGGCAAGCGUUAUCCGGAAUUAUUGGGCGUAAAGCGUCCGCAGGCGGUUCUGUAAGUCUGCCGUUAAAGCGUGGAGCUUAACUCCAUUUCGGCGGUGGAAACUGCAGGACUUGAGUGUGGUAGGGGCAGAGGGAAUUCCCGGUGUAGCGGUGAAAUGCGUAGAUAUCGGGAAGAACACCAGUGGCGAAAGCGCUCUGCUGGGCCAUAACUGACGCUCAUG
This 360-nucleotide ribosomal RNA is filed under the name uncultured Synechococcus sp. RNAcentral describes it as "bacterial SSU rRNA". It matches the Rfam family "Bacterial small subunit ribosomal RNA", at positions 376 to 751 of the family's 1533-position model. Lineage: Bacteria; Bacillati; Cyanobacteriota; Cyanophyceae; Synechococcales; Synechococcaceae. The record is from RNAcentral.